Long non-coding RNA from Dicentrarchus labrax (European seabass), 5079 nucleotides. Lineage: Eukaryota; Metazoa; Chordata; Actinopteri; Moronidae. The record is from Ensembl.
AUGUUAAAAGACCGACACCCGUAUUUAGAACAUUGUUUUAAAAAUAUCUAUUCAGACUAUAAAAGGCGGAUCACCGGACUUUGGAUGUCAUUCCCCGUCGCUACAUUCCUGCUCGUGAGAAUGCUAGUACCCUCGUCCUCAGAUCAACCGGUAAUCACCGAGGCUCGAAGUCCCAAAAUAUCUACGCAUGGUCUAACUGCAAACUUCCCUGACCGAAUGGCUUUGAGCAGGCUGAUACAGAAAAGCGGAGACAGAGUAAAAAAGCAGGGCAGCCCUACAGUCUCUGGUCGUGCGUCAGGAUGGAGAAAGCAGGUCAGUUCGACGUGCGUUGUCUUUCUGUUCUGUCGGAGACUAAAAUAUUUGGUGUUGCCAUUCAGGAUUCAGGGAGCCGGCUCAAAAGAGAUGUGGGUUGGUUGGGUCGUAGUGUUAGGAUGGGUGAAGGGUUUGGGAGUGGAAAGGUGGCAGUUGGAGAGGAGGGGGAGAGUACACAGAGUUACAAAUGUGAGCCAGCUGAUAGAAAGAGCCCGCCAAAUCAGGGGGACUUUACGCAACUGGGGAGGCGCGCCACACGAUUCACCUCACUGCAUAGAGUCUCUCUCACUGUCUGCGCGCGCCGGUGUGUGUAUGUGUGUCUUUGUGUGUGAAUGACUUCCAGACAGAGACGGAAAGCAUGAAUGGGGCAGGAGAAGCGCGACCGAAGAGUCCGCGCUAUUAUCGGCGCAAACCCGCGUGGGAAGGACUACAUCGGGCACAAUUAAAAAGGCUCGCGGAACAAGCGAAGCGAAAGCUGCUGGCGGGAAGGUACUGGGAAUUCAUUUAAAAAUAAAAAUAAAAAUGAAAAACAGCAGGAGAGAACCAUUCAUGACACAACACAGGGAAUGGCUUUGGAAAAGUGUCUCGACGACACACACGAACCACCUCUCUCUCUCUCUCUCUCUCUCUCUCUCUCUCUCUCUCUCUCUCUCUUAUUGUGUUUGUCUCUCUAUCUGUGUCUCUCCCUCUCCCUGGUCCUCUUCUCCAGCAGUGUGCUAUUGACCUGCAUUGACGUCAUUGCGUCAUUAGGUUUCCCUUAGAAACACUGACUUUCAAAAAUAGUAUCAAAUUAAUUCAGCUGGCAAGGAGAGAGGGGUGGGGCUUAUGAGUGUUUGGGGUUGGGGUGAACGGGGUUUGUGGGUAGGUAUGGGUGAGGAGUGGGGGAUGGCAGGUUUUAUUCUGGGAUUUUACCCCCCCCCCAAUCUCCCCGCACCACCACCAUUUCCAAGCCGACUGGGGUGGAGCGCUAGAUCAGACACAUCGAUAUCUGAAGCCUAAAGACCCAGUCCCAAUAGCAGGUCCCACCGGAGAGGCAACAAUACAAAAAUAACUCUAAUUUAAUUUCACUUAUGCAUAUUAGUUACUGUUGCCAAAGCAAAUGAUGAAAAUAAAGAAAAUUAAUGUAAUGAUAAGAAAAGAGGUCAAAAUGGGGUUGUCUCUUUCUGGCUCUUCCAGUCUAAAAAUAUCCUCCAGCCUCUAGCUGACUACGUUGGAAAACCUUUUCUCCAUUUAACCCCUGGCUCUUAAAGACAAGGAGCCAGAACACCAUGCAGAGAGAGAAGCAGACAGACGGGAGGCAGAGAGAAACUGUGGUUCUACAAGUUGUUGGGAUCCUGGGUUCUUUAGGGAUUUUUAGAUAAUAUAGCAGAUCUGUAAUGGCCUCAAAAUACCCUUUGAUUCCUUCAAAUACAACAGACAAAUCAAUAAGCAGAACACAGCAUUGUUCUUGAUUAAAAUAUGUUUAUCACUGCUGCUUUAACAUUUUUUUUAAAUGGUUAAAGGAGUGGAGAGUAUUGGAAGUGUAGGAAGGAAGUGUAUUUUGAUUUAGAGGAAGAAUUCACUGUUUAUUUGGGGUUUGCCUCCAGGAGCUGUCCUUGGUGCUGAAAUGUCAUUACAAGCUGAACUCUCAUGAUUUUACUGUUUUUCCUCUAAAUCUAUUGUCCACAUAAUUUAUACAGUGCAAUACAAUACUGCCAAACUCUUAGUUACACAUUGUCAUGUCUGAUUUUCUGCUCUGCGUCUUACUCACCUGUCAUUUUAGAUCCAGCAACUCCCCUCCUUCCCUGCAGUAACCCCUUUUCCCCUUUUCAUUCCCCAUCACCUGACCUCCCCCCGCCCACCUACUUACCUGUCCCUACUUUCUCCAUCAGUUCAGUAUAAAUUCCAGCCUGUGCCAGAUUGUCUAUUACACAUUAGCUUUCCUGCCUUCUGUUCUGCCUUCCUUUGCCCUCUGUCUUACCACUCUGGAUAAGUUUGCCCGAUUUAUCUGCUUUCCUGGUUGCAUUUGCCUGAUUUUUGAUUAUGAUUAAAGGUGAACUGUGUACCUGUCUGUCUCUGAGUGGUGAAUCUGGGUCCAAGCCUGUUUCUCUGCUGAGCCAUUACACAGUGUUAUUGUAAAGCACUUUUUGACUGGUCUCAGUAAAAUAGUAUUACUGCUAUUAUUUUGACAGGCCUCUGACUCAUCAGGAAAACAUUGUGACUGAUAAUUGGUAAUGGACUGAUGAAGCAAAGUGGUAAUACACUCAAUCCAAAUCACUGCAGAGCUGCAAUUACACAUCUUAUUCACAAACUAUAGGAGAUCAUUAUUAUAUAUUUAUUAUACUGUUAUAAAGUAUACACAGUGGAAACCAUGCAUCUCCAAAUUUGGUGAUUUUCCAUUUUUGAAAGGAAAAAAUUCAAAGCAACCCUUAGAAUAGCAGAUUAUUUUUUUAAUCCGUCUGGUGUUUAGAGUUUAUUCAAAUACAGCAAUGUAUUUAAGUGAUCAGGAGACCACUGUCAGCACUUACCCAUUGUGUUUCCACUGAAGAAUCUGGAGGGAAAGCUUUCCAGUUCUGACACUGACCUUUGAUCUACCUGUGGAGUUAACAAAGCAAAUACGGAAUUUUCCAGUAAACAUCAGCAGAAAAUUCAAUACAAAUUUUACACUUAGUAUUCUCCUGUCUGUAGAAAGUCAUUUCAAUUAUGGUGAAGACAUUUUGCAGAAUUAUAGGUUGUCAUCUGUAUAUCUAAAAUGUAUGAGCAACAUCAGUCAUUCCUGUCUUUAAUUUAAUACAACUAAGAGACAUGUUGUUUUGGAAAAUAGCUGCCUGCACCCUUCUCCAAGACACACAUUGUCAUUGAUGCAUGCAUAGCUACAAAACACUCACUCACACUCACACUCACACACACACACACACACACACACACACACACGCCACACACACACACACACACACACACACACACACACACACACACAAACAUGCAGAUGUUAGCUACUGAUUUGGAACCUGUCCACCUGUUUACGAAUUUUCAAACCAGCUCCUGUGAAAAGUUGCCCAACCUACUUUAGUCACUGAGUUGCCAUUUGUUUUUUCUUCUCCAGGCAUGCAGAAAGUGAGACUGUGACUUCUAUGUGCGAUACAUGAAGAGAGAAGAAGAAGAAAAGGGUGAAGAACAGAGAAGACGAUAUAUACAGAGAGGGAGGGAGAGAUGCAAGCGGAGAGACUGUGGCAAAAAUACUUCACCAUUAGGACUGAAUUAAGCCUUAUGAUUCAUCUUCUUGAAUUGAGAGACACACAUUUCAAAUAUCGUAGGAUGCUUCAUCUCAUGUCUGGUAGCCAUUUAGCACUACACCUUUCAGGGUUCUUGCUGUGAGAAUUGUGUGCCAAAAACACUAAAAAAAACUGUGUGCGAGUGCUGUUUGGUAGGAGUAAGUGUGUGAUCAACAACAGUGAGGAAAGAUACUCCAUCUAUGCUGAAUACAUGAAUGUACCACUAACCUGACCAGGUUGGUCUGACUGAAAGCUGGCAGGUUGAAGAGGGUGUCUGUGAGGGAUUUAACCAAAUGCCUGGCCUACUGAAGCACCCUUGAAGAAGUCCUACUACUUCAAAGAGGCCCUGAAACUGCUGCUGACCUCUGACCUCACAGGAAUCAAUAAGGGAAUUAAUAAAUGAGGGCAAAAAAUUAGAAAAACAAACUAAACAAUAACAACUAAACAAGUGUUGCAUGUGCAGGCAUAAAUCGUGGGAAUGUGUGAUAGCAGGAUAAGGCGUGGACCCACAUGGGGAGAAAUGUAUCAUAGAAGACGUCACCAGCACCAAUGGAAGUCACGCAGCAUUCAGGGGUCAGUGCCAACGCUGACGACAGAGUUAGAGAGACAGACAGAGAUCCUGGGUGUGACUAAGGCACUCCGACCAUUGAAAAACAGCGUGCUGUCCUCCUCUCCUCCUCCAUAAUAACAUAAACACACGAGUCAGUCAGCCUGUUUGAGCGGAAAUGUUAGUCUUGAUAACAAAAUAAAUAAAUGAGAAUGUCUCCCCUUCUAUACGGCCUAUUGAGCUUCAACCCUCUGCCUUGCCCUUUUUUUAAGCAUGUCAAUACAAUAAUAAUACCUUCCAAAACAUUUGCCUUGGGUGUAUCAUGGCCCCCGUCUUUUCCACUUGGUUCCCUGCUUGUGUCUAUGUGUCUGUUGUAUACACACAGGUCAUUUUAAUUUGUGUGAUGUCCCCUCCCAUCUGCCUUGUGGCUUUCCAUUCCGACUUGUAGGCUGCGUCUUUCUAGGAAACAGUGGGUGUUUUGGGCUGAUGUUUACUAUUGGGCCCCAGCAGAUGAAGGCAGGCAUACACACAGAAAAGAGAGGGAUUCAUGGGAUCCUUUGCCAGGGUAAUGCUUUAUGUAUUGAACCAUUACAACUGAAGGAAGAAGCCAAAAAGAAGGGUACAAUAUCAGGGUUGUAGUUGGUUUAAUGUGUGAUUUUUUUUAAGGCCCUCCUAAUUUGUUUCCUCACUUACUGUCUUAAUAAACUGAUACCUCCCAUCCCUCUACUCUUUGGUUUACGCUUUUAAAAAAUGGUCACAAAAAUAUAAAAAGGAAUCCCCAAAGUAAAAGACACAUCUAAAAUAUAACUAUACAUUUAAAUUAGUUUUCUGGUUUAGCUUUACAGUAUAUGAUGGUUGAGAACUCAAAGCUAAAGCAAAGUCAGGAGAGAAGCUUGAAAAGAAGUCCAAAAGAACCUCGCCAGGUUUACUAUGUGGAAUCGUUUUCGUUGAGAGUGUGCACAGAGG